This is a long non-coding RNA of Equus caballus (horse), 4074 nucleotides long. Lineage: Eukaryota; Metazoa; Chordata; Mammalia; Perissodactyla; Equidae. The record is from Ensembl.
CUCUGCUUUGGGGUGGUGGGGUAACCUGCCUCCUGAUGAGUCUUAUGUCAGGGGUCGUGGGACAGGGAGGUCUGUGGGCUCCAUAAAGCCUUCAAUGGGCAGAACUGGGAUUCUGGAUCUCUGUGACAGCUCCUCCUGUGAGAAGCACCUCUCUGAGUUCUUGAACUCCCGUUGCUUUCUUCAUGUGGUGUGCCGCAGGAGCACACUUACUCAGAAUAAUGACAUUUCUGCUCCAAAUUAAUGUUUCACAGCUUGGAUAUUUUAGGUCCAAGAGUAUGAUGUGUGUGUGUGUGUGUGUGUAUAAACAUAUAAAUAUGUAUUGAUAAAAUCACAAUCCAGUGCUUCAGAGUAUUGCCCAGCAACAUGUACAGACAACCAGGGUCAUCUACUCAUGCAACGCAAGGGAAGGUCAUGGGCCCACCAGGGCUUCAACUCAGGUGCCUGGGUCACAGUCAUUUCUGGACUUAAAUUCCUUUUGAUGCAGGUUCGGUGAGCAGAGGAGUCGAAAGAAAGAUUUCUUGGACUCUCCAGGUCUGGCAGUAGUGCUCUUUUAUUUAGAGAAUAGUGUGGAAUAGCAUGGGGACAGGACCCUUGGGCAGUCAGAGCUACUGCUGCAAAAAUGAGUUGAGGGUGGGGCUACAUUUAAGGCAUAGGUAUGUGAGUUAUUGCUUUACAGGGCAAAGGAAAGAAUACGUAAAAAAGUUGUUAAAAUGAUAUCAGUGCCGGUAGGUUCUGGUUAUUGGGUGGUCCUAUAACUUUUAGAUAAGAAUCAAACCGGGUUAAGUAAAUGGCAGAAGCCACAGCUUAAAUAUUCUCUUCAGCUAAAGACAAAGGAGGAUGUUGGAGGGGGGUCAGUUACAUGAGGUUGCCAGACAGUAAACAACUUAACUCCCUGCCUUCCCCAUUGAGAGUUUCCAGAGAUAAGGCCAUCCCGCCUUCCUCCUGGUGCAGAGGGAGACACCCCCACAGAUGGAGACUAGCUUCACAAAUGCAAAUGUCUCUCAUCAAAGGGCAAGCAAAUUCCACUCUUCAGAGCCCCCUUCUCAUCUGCAGUUUUAAAAGUAACCAGCCUAAAAUCCUCAUCACUUUCACUGUUGACCAACACCCUGGCAUGGGAAAAUCUCAGCUUCAUUCUUAUCAGUCACCUCCAGGAGUUAAACUCUUGACGCUGGGUCUGAAAAUGGUGACUGGAGUUCCAUGAUUGGUUCAACGACUUCCACACUGCCAGCUACCUAGCUGCCCGCUCACUCAACCUCAGGGGUCCUCUUGACUGGCCAUUCCUGCAGGGCACUGUGUGACGUGCGCUGGAGAGCCUCCUGGUGCAAGGCCUACCGUGAGACUUAAUGAACAAUUACUGUCUGGCAGACCAUGUCUCACCCAGAGCCGAAGCUGGGCCAUCCUCCCUAGCCCUCCCCAGGCCCCCGGGUGGGCCUCUCAGAGUUCAGUCCUAUAGUUGUUAACUGGGUCAUGGCUAAUUGUACUUGAGUGUAGACAAGAACUCUAUCUUGUUCUUUUAUGAGAAUUCCUUCAUUCAUCAGUUCACUCAACAGUUGUUGACUGAGUGCCUGCCAUGUAUCAAAACUCCAGAACAGAUACUAUGCCUUUAAUGCAGCAUGCGGCUUAUUGUAACUUUUCGAAAGCUUUAAAACCUUUGCAGAGCAGAUGUAUAUACAUAACAUAGAAUGAUAGAAAGAUUAUCUAAAGCUUGAUAACCUGAGACCAUCCAAUAUGUUUUUAAUCAUGCAUUCGUCCGUCUCAAUUCUGUGCACAGCAGUGCAUGUGCCCUGACAGGGCAUCUGUGAUGUCUGGAGGCAAUUGGGUUGGCUCAGUGCAAGGAGGUGGAGGGUGUGGGAGACACUGUGACUGGUGUCCAGGGGCUAGAAGCCAGGGAUGCCUCCAAAUGUCCUGCAGCACACAGGACGGCCUCCACAACAGAGUUAUUCUGCCCGCAAUGUCAAACGUGCUCAGCUCAAGGAACCCUGCCUUACACUCCAGGCCAGCCUCUGAAGGUGUUUAGGAGAAGGAAAAAUGACUCCACGGUGCUGUGUGGGGUCCCCGUCUCUGCGCAGCAGUCAUGCUCCAGGGAGGGGCUCUGUGGAUCCAGAUGCAGCUGAAACAGAACAACACAAAUGGAAAACGGAGAAAAAAAAGAUUGCAAAGGAUUAAAAGUCCAUUUACUGAUAUUUUAUAUUCUACUGUGCACAGUCUUUGCAUAACAAAAUUUCAAGAACAGAGAUGGGCCCUAAAACAGCCCUCAAAAGCUGCUGCUUCAGCGUGUGACCCUCGCUGGGCUCUCCAGCACCCAUCACUGACCACGUGGCGUUUACUCUAGAGAAUCGACAUGUCUGACCGUGGUCUUCCAUCCCUCGUGGCUCUCUGGAUGCCAAAUGGCAUUGCUGGCCGGGACGGUUCUCAGUUUUUGUUUCCCGAAGCGUGUGUCUUAAAGCUGUUUCUCACACCAUUAAGUUCAAUAAGGACAAGCAAGCCAUGGACUCUGCCCUCAAGGAGCUGACGUGCUGUCAAGGGAGAGACACCUAGACAACUGGCUGAAGACAGUCAAGGAAAUGCAGCGCUCUUUGCAGAAACCCAGGGAGAAAGUUCACAAAUCUUCUGAAGGAAUUAGAAAAACUUUUGCAGAUGAGGUGACAUUAGAGUCUGCCCUUGACCAUUGAAUUUAUUCCGCAGAAAAUAUGUCAGAGGGAAAUGGGGAGAAAUUAAGAAGCAAACUCACAUGAGUCUCUGAACUAGCAAGGGCACGUAACUGGUUACCAGAAAUAAAUCAGGAGAGAAGCUCCAUCCCGGAAGGAUGGGAGCUGUGACUUAGGACAUUACAGUAGAAGGAAGGUCUCAUCCUUCUGUCAGCUCCCCAGUCUCUAACGAGUAAAAAAUCAUCAAAGAAAACAAAAAUGUUACACUCUAGCCACUAUUUGAGUAUUUAUUGUGUGCAAGGCAUAGUGCUAAUUUCUUUGCACAGGAUAUCCCAAUUGAUUCUGUCAACAGCUCGUACAGUUGGGUAUUAUUAUUUCCACUUUAUAGCUGGAAAAAACAAAGAUUAGCAAAGGCUAAAUAAACUUCCUGAGGUCACUUGGCUGGUGGGUGGUAUAAGAGGAUCAAAUCCAUGCUGUCUAACCCAAAGUUCACGCCUGCCCUCAGCCAGCACCUCCCACUAUCUCCAUCACACAGGGGUGUGCGGGGAAGAACAUCAAGAACCCAGGUGUAUCUGGUCCCUCACGUCCAGGAGGAAGACUCAGGGUGGGGGAGCCAGGAAGGAAUCUGCAGAGACUGAGUUCAGAGCACUCGCCUCGUCAGUGUUUUCAAAGUGACAGAGACCACCAAAUGCCAGUCUUCCCUCUGAGAAAGCUAUGACUUUAGCAAAGCCGGAGUUCAGUGUCACAGCCCAGGAGCCUAUCACUGUUCAAGUCUUUUCGUUAGAGCUCAAGGACAGUCUUCUGACAUUCACUUUCCUUGGUGUGUGACCACUAAAUCCUGGCUUACACACACGGAAGCCAAUGUUCCUGGUCUCUACCUUUAACUCUCCGCUGAUUUUGUUACUUUCUUCUGUUUUUAGUGCUUGGGCUUUACAUCCAACCUGGAACUCUCCACUGCUCCACUGUCCGUAACUGCAGAUUGCACUGCUGGGGAAACGUGAGGUGAUGGGGGUGAGAGACUGUCAAUUUGGCUGAGUGUUCCUGCUAGAUAACCAAAGGGAGAAGGUGUGCUGCCAGCCACGGUCUUUCUGCAUUUCCGUGGCCCACAGGCUGCAGGAAAGAAGUGUCUGGCAGACUCUCUGGUAAGUGAGGCAAAUGUGUGGUCACAGAAGGCCAGGUGGGGACUGGCCAAAGGCCUGGCUUCUGAGAUUGAUCAAAGCUAGUCUAUAAGAGGUGAUUCUUGUUCCUUCCUGAAACUUACUCAGAAACGCAUCCAGGGGCUGGCCCAGUGGCGCAGUGGUAAAGUUUGCACAUUCCGCUUCUCGGUGGCCCGGGGUUCACCGGUUCGAAUCCCGGGUGCGGACAUGGCACCGCUUGGCACGCCAUGCUGUGGUAGGCAUCCCACACAUAAAGUAGAGGAAGAUGG